Molecule: ribosomal RNA, 197 nt
Filed under: Escherichia coli
Lineage: Bacteria; Pseudomonadati; Pseudomonadota; Gammaproteobacteria; Enterobacterales; Enterobacteriaceae
Also listed under: 1 other name
Description: partial 16S ribosomal RNA
Rfam family: Bacterial small subunit ribosomal RNA
Source: RNAcentral
AAAUUGAAGAGUUUGAUCAUGGCUCAGAUUGAACGCUGGCGGCAGGCCUAACACAUGCAAGUCGAACGGUAACAGGAAGCAGCUUGCUGUUUCGCUGACGAGUGGCGGACGGGUGAGUAAUGUCUGGGAAACUGCCUGAUGGAGGGGGAUAACUACUGGAAACGGUAGCUAAUACCGCAUAACGUCGCAAGACCAAA